GUAAUAAUUAAGUGAGCUCCUGUCCACAAAACACUUGUCCCGGGCUUGCCAUGUCGUCGGAACAAAAUAAACGGUGACUAUUAUUCUUAACCCUACUGUGGUAAUUACAGCUGCAAAGCCUCAUUUCAGACGUAACAAUUACUUUGUCAAAUAAAAAGAUUUUAAAUGUUAACACAGGUUCGCCACAUAAUCAGAGACUGAGUUCGCGGUUUACAGCUGAUGCUCCACUUCUCCACCGUGAAAUGCUUGGGAAUUCGCCCCCACUACAAAGUGCAGGAACUUAGAGGUGCUUUGCUGAAUCAAAGGGAAGAAAUCGACCCGGAGAGACCACGUGGCCCAUCCCCUGGCUUCAGGCUAAACUGUCUUAACCCUCUGAGAGCAAUGAUUCUCUCUCCACUUUCCAAGACUUCCAGAAAUGAAGCCCGAGUAACCUGCCACAGUAACACACCUGAGCAGCCCUGCCAGAAAGUACUUGUUUCAUGUUUAACCUUAAUCUCUCGUGAGACACUCAGAACCCUUUUUCUUUCCUUCUGUUCUCCACAGAGGUGGAAAGUACCACCUUCUGUGUAAGACAGCUCAGGAAGACAGAUCUGCACAGACGGAAUGGCCAGGAAGCCUGUGCCCUCCAAGUGCCUGGCAAGCCUGAUUCACGGAGGACCUACUUCAACAACCAGGACCGGCCGAUGCUCACCUUUGGGGGCCGGACCUGCGAAGAUUUAACAUACUUCCGCAAGUGACACAGAAGCAAACGCACGGACUGAACCUUCUGGGAAGUUUCCUAACAGAAGGCUGACCCAGCCAGGAGCCAGUGCUUCCAUCUGCUCUAUGGAGGUAUCUUCUGGAAGAGAUUUCUGACACAUCCGAUAGUGGGAUAUCAAAGCAAUUUUGUGUUACUUUUAAAGAAAUUUGAUUGUGAUCAACAAUAUCUAUGCACGUGAAAUAUUACGUGAGUAUGGAAGGAACCUCAUUUGACUUUUUGUGGGAUUUUCAGCAUCCUUGUGAGACAAUGUAGGACUAGCAAAUGGUUCUCAGUCUUUCUGGAGAAGCUGGUAGACACUAACUUGCAUCAAUGCGCAUAUCAAAUCAUUCAGUCUCACUCUUCAAAUAUGUAGAAUUAAGAUAAUUUUCAGCUAUUCCACCCAUAACAAUUGUUUUUAAAUUCAAAUCCAACAUUAAGAAGUUCAAAUCAUAUACCUACUCUGUUUUUAAAUUACUGAUGUGAAGUUAAAUUCUCUACCUUCCCAUUUUAGUCAAUAAACAUUUACUGAGCAUUUUCUGUUUUAGGGGCUGUGCUAGGCACUGGGGGGGAUGGUAUGACGGUAAAAAACUUCAAGCAGACAGACACUGAUCAGAGAAAUUAGUUCAACAUAAAAUUGCAGCUAUGAAGAAAAAUUGCUUAAUAUCAUGAGAAAAUACAAUCACAGCACACUUGGAAAAAAAUCAUUCAGCUGCAGUACAGAGAAAUGACAGGAAAGUGGUUAUAAGUGGAGGUGGGGCAAACAGCACAGAGGCUACUAGUAUUCUAGAAGCAAACAAGAUGAUGCGGGCUUGGACCAGCAUGGUGGUGGUGGGCAUGAAGCACAACUUGGUCUAAAAGAAUCAAAAAACCAUGUCAUAUUCUUUAGCCUGGUAUUCGGGUCCACCACAAACUAGCCUCUACUGAUCUUUCUCUGGACACUUUCUGCACUCUCCUGAGGCACUUGAGGCCUAAGCCUCGCUGAGGACAACUUAUUAUCAGCACACACCAAGUCAGUGCCCUUCACCAAACUGUUCCACUGGCUUGCUCCCUUCUCCCCUUUCUGGAUUGCCAGAUGCCGGGUAAAACGACCAUCUAUGGUCAGCGGCAGUUAAGUAGAUGACGACUAGACACCAACUCAGACUGGGAGCUUUGUAGCAAGUACUUUUUACAAGUUUUCUUAGUUUCAUCCAUGUUACUGCAACCGCCAUGAUUCUGUUCCUUUUCACUGCUGAACAGCGUUUCAUGGUCUGAAGACAUUAUGGCUUAUCCCUUUGUGGAAGGGCAUCUGGGCUGUUUCCAGAUUCUGGCUCUCAGAAAUAAAGUCACUUUCAACACUGUUAAAUAAAGCUUUUUCUCAGUACAUAUUCUUAUUUCUCUGGGAUAAAAUUAUUAGGAGUAGAAUUACUGCUAUAUAGGAUACAUAUAUUUUCAACAUUUUUAAAGAAACUGCCAAUCUUCUCAUCGUCAUGCUGCUCUAUUCAUGUAUGAAUUUUUUAGAUGCCCAAUAACCUUGUCAACAUUUGAUGUUGUUAAUUUUUAUUUUAGCCAUUCGAGUGCAAGUAUAGGAUAUCUCACUGAGGUUUUGAUCUGUAUUUGCACUUCCUCCAUGACCUAUGACUCCGACCACUUUUGCAUAUUCUUCAUGGCUGUUUGAAUAUCUACUUCUGUAAAAUUUCUGCUCUAGGUUUUCUUAUAAAAAUUGGGUUAUGUUUUUCUUGAUGAGUUGUAUAGUUUCUUUAUAUCGUAUAGAUAAAAGUCCUUUGUCAGAUGUAUGUGUUGCAAAGAUAUUUUCCUUGAGACUGUGGCUUAUUUUCUAAUG
Molecule: long non-coding RNA, 2558 nt
Organism: Mustela lutreola (European mink)
Lineage: Eukaryota; Metazoa; Chordata; Mammalia; Carnivora; Mustelidae
Exons: 3
Source: RefSeq, a predicted model, not a curated record